Molecule: ribosomal RNA, 355 nt
Filed under: Olea europaea subsp. europaea
Lineage: Eukaryota; Viridiplantae; Streptophyta; Magnoliopsida; Lamiales; Oleaceae
Description: SSU_rRNA_eukarya
Source: RNAcentral
UAUAUCUUGGAGGGCAACUGGGAGCUCUUUCUUGAUUCUAUGAGUAGUUAUUCAUGGCCAUUCUUAGUUUAUGGAGUGAAUUUUUUGGUUAAUUUCAUUAAUGAACAAUACUCCGGCACGCUUACUAGCUUUGUGAAAAUUAGAUUCAUGUAAUAGGAGAAAGAUUUUUUAUUCCUUAAGCGAAAAAAUAUUUGACUAGUGGAUUCGAGAUUUCUUAUGGGGCACAAGCAUCCAAAGUAAUUUAGUCUCGUUGUUUUUCAUUAUCUACAAAUUGCCUUUUUUCCUAGGUGAUCAUUUUGUGAGUGAAAGCAAAUCAAGCAACAACGAGAACCAGAGAAGCAGGCAUGAUAGUCCU